Molecule: long non-coding RNA, 6370 nt
Filed under: Vitis vinifera (wine grape)
Lineage: Eukaryota; Viridiplantae; Streptophyta; Magnoliopsida; Vitales; Vitaceae
Description: long non-coding RNA (VVIN_LNC002089)
Source: RNAcentral
GAGAAAAGGGCAUUUGAUUGAGAAAAGGAAAGAAGAUCAGGAUUUGUUUUUAUGGGCACUGUUCCAGGGCUCAAGGGUGAAGUUACAAGUUCCUUUCAUCAACCUUUUUGGGGAAUUCCUAUGGUACGUUUUCUCCCUAAUUUCUUUCUGUUCAUGUUUCAUUGGGUGAUGGAUUCCUACCUAAAGUGAGGACUUAAGUAUUGUAUCCCUAUUUAUUGAAGUAGAAGAAAUUUUCUCUAUGGUUUUUUACCUCUAUUCAAAGGGUUUUUCCACAUUAUAUUUGGUAUCCUCUUUUGUGGUUGAAUGUUAUUGAUUGUCAUUCUUGAUUCUUGUUAAGUUGUUAUUAUUCUUGAGAGGUGGUUAUUAUUGUUGAGUGGUUGUUAUUCUUGUGGAGGAAUCUUUUAACUUUGGCAGGUUAAUACUCUAGAUCUCUCCCUUUAUCUUCCCAACAAGUGGUAUCAGAGCUUGGUUGUGGAACUUUUAUUCUUGAAAGGAAUGGAGAUAAAAAGGGAACUCAACCUCCAUGAUAAAACUUAACAAUUUAAAUUAGGCUAUGUGGAAGUCCAUGAUGGAAGAUUUUCACACCAUCAAAGAUUUGUCAAAUACUUUUGAAGAUAAAGAAGUUAGUCCCAAAGAUAUUUUUGAUUUGGAAUGGAAUAAGAUGAACAAAAAGGCAAUUGCCUAUAUUAGGCAAUAGAUUGACACAUCCUCACAUCACCAUGUGGCAAAUGAAACAAAUGCCCAUAAUCUCUAGAAGAAAUUGGAAUCCAUGUUUGCACAAAAAACUGUUGGGAAUAAAAUUUUCUUGUUAAAAAAGUUGGUGAAUAUGAAGCUAAAGGAAGGAACACAAAUGACAGAUCACUUGAAUGUUUUUCAAAGCAUUGUUAAUCAUUUGGUUGUGUUCAUUACCAAAUAGUUAGAAAACUUUUGUUGUGACUAUUAGCAACUCUACUCCGAAUGGUGCAUUGUCUAUAGAACUUAUGAAGGGAAAUUUGUUCAAUGAAAAGACAAGAAGGAAGGCUUAUGACACAGAAAAUGCACGAGCCCUCAUCAUAGAAAGUAAAGAAAGAAACAAGGAUAAAGGAUAGAAAGGUUAUGACAAGUUUGAGGGAAGGUCCCAAUCCAAAGGUAAAAUCAAAUGUUUCCAUUGUGGAAAAGAUAGGCAUAUGAAAAGGAAUUUUCGAAUUUGGAAAAGGGAAUAGAAUAGGUAGAAUCAGGAAAAAGAAUAUGAAAAGAAUACCACAACCUCAGUAUCUAACAAUGAUGAAGUUUUAGUGCUCUCAAAUGAGUGUUUGCAUAUAGAUAAGCAAGAAAUUGAGUGGACUAUAGACAUUGUAGCCUCCUACAUGCUACUCCUCACAUGGAGUCGUUUUUUUAUUAUAGAGUUAAAGACUAUGGCAUAGUCAAGAUGGGAAACUCUAGUCACUCCAAGAUUGUAGGGAUGGGUGAUGUUUGCUUUGAAACCAAUAUGCGGUACAAGUUGACAUUGAAAGAUGUAAGGCAUGUUUCAAAUUUACGCCUUAAUCUAAUGUUAGGUUUUGUCUUGGACAAGCAAGGUUAUGAAAAGCACUUUAGCAAAGGCAAAUGGAAGCUUACUAAGGGCUCAUUGGUUGUUGCAAAAGAAGAAGCAUGUUGCACUUUGUAUAAGACCCAAGGAAAAGUUUGUAAUGAUGAGUUACAUGUUAUAAAGGGUACUUCCUUGGAGUUAUGGCAUAAAGGUUGGGGCAUAUGAGUAAGAAAGGAUUGCAAGUUUUGGUAAGGAAGUUCUUAAUUCCUUUGGCCAAAAAUGAAUCCUUAUCUUCUUGUGAUCAUUCUUUAAUUAGAAAACAACAUAGGGUUUCCUUUAGUAGCAGAUCUAACAAGUUAGAGAAGUUGGAAUUGGUAUACUCUAAUGUUUGUGGCCCAAUGGAUAUGGAAAAUCUUGGAGGAAACAGGUACUUUGUCACUUUCAUUGAUGAUGCUACCAAGAAGGUAUGGAUUUAUUUGCUCAGAUCAAAGGAUCAAGUCUUUCAGUAUUUUCUACAAUUUCAUACCAUGGUUAAGAGAGAAACUGGAAGAAAAUUGAAGUGUCUCAGGUCUAAUAAUGGAGGUGAGUACACCUCAAGGGAGUUUGAAACUUAUUGCACUAAGAAUGGUAUAAGGCAUGAGAAAAAAGUUUAUGGCACUCCAUGGUAUAAUGGUGUGGCUGAAAUGAUGAAUUGCACCAUCAUUGAGAGAGUUAGGUGUAUGUUGAAUACUGCAAAGUUGCCUAAGGUGUUUUAGGGUGAAGCUACUCAAACUGCCUGCUAUUUGAUAAACAAAUCUUUAUCAGGUCCAUUGAACUUUGAGGUUCCAAUGAAGGCAUGGACAGGAGAAGAUGUUACCUAUUCCCACUUGAGGGUCUUUGGAUAUAAAAGUUUUGUGCAUGUUCCUAAAGAACAAAGAUCUAAACUUGAUGAUAAGGCAAUUCCACAUGUCUUUGUUAGGUAUGGUGAUGAAGAGUUUGGAUUCAAAUUAUGGGAUCCAACUAAGAAGAAAUUGGUGAGAAAUAGAGAUGUGGUCUUCCAAGAGGAUCAAACCUUAGGAGAUUUUGACAAAGCCAAUCAAUUGAAAGGUACAAGUGAUGACUUCAUUGAGUUGGUACCUAUUCCCCAAUCAUUAGAGCAGCCUAGAAAUGAACAGGAGGAAAUUGAUGAGCUACCAAGAGAUGAUAGUGCAAAUGACAUACCUGCACAAGAGCUAAUUCAACACAAGGAGUAGGAGGAUUUGAUACCCCAAGUUAGGAUGUCUACUAAAGAGCAUCGUCCCUUUACUAUAUAUCCCUCUUCUGAGUACAUGUUAGAUGAGAGGGAGCCACAAAGUUUUCACUAAUCUAUGCAAGAUGAGAUGGAUUCCUUGUAGAAAAAUGAAAAUUAUGAGUUAAUACAACUUCCUAAAGGAAGAAAAUCAUUGAAAAACAAAUGGAUAUUCAAGUGGUUAAGAGAUAUGGUUGAAGAAAAUGCAGCUAAGUUGAAGAAGAUUCACUUAAACAUGUUGACAAAGGUUGUUCCCAAACAGAAGCUUCAGUUGUGCAUUGGAACAAGAGGUUUGAACUCUAUGUGAUGGAGUUAUAGAUUGGCACUCUCCUCUCAUAUGCUGGAGGGGGAGAUUGUUAGGCUAUGUUUAUCCAACCCAUGAGCUCAUAUAUUAGGCCAUUUUAUAUUUUGGUUUUCCCUAAGCCCAAAUAUGGAUAUAUAAAUAGCAUUAGGGCUUUGGUAUUAAGAGAAAAAGGCAUUUGAUUGAGAAAAUGAAAGAAAAGAUUAGGGUUUGUUUUUAUGGGCACUGUUCUAAGACUCAAGGGUGAAGUCACAGGUUCCUUUCAUCAACCUUUUUGGGGAAUUCCUAUGGUAUGUUUUCUUCCUGAUUUCUUUCUGUUCAUGUUUCCUGGGGUGAUGGAUUCCCACCUCAAGUGAGGACUUAAUUAUUGUACCCCCAUUUAUUGAAGUGCAAGAAAUUUUCUCUAUGGUUUUUUACCUCUAUUUAGACGGUUUUUCCAUGUUAUAUUUGGUGUCCUCUUUUGUGGUUAAAUUUUCUUGAUUGUCAUUCUUGAUUCUUGUUAAGUUGUUAUUAUUCUUGAGAAGUGGUUAUUAUUGUUGAGUGGUUGUUAUUCCUGUGGAGGAAUCUUUUAACCUUGGUAGGUUAAUACUCUAAAUCUCUCCCUUUAUCUUCCCAACAAAAGUGUGUGUUUUUAAAGUUUAUUAAUAAAUUUGACCUCCUUUUCCCAUGAAUGUAGGCGAUUAUAAUGAACCCCAUAAAUCUUUUGUCUUCCGUAAUUUAUUUUGAAACCUAUAAAUGGAGGAGAUGAAAGACAAUAUGUUUCAAGGAGAAUUGAUAGUGCUUUCAUGAAUAUUCUAUCUCAAUAUGAGGGGAAACAUUGUCAACUCCUUUUUUGUUGAAAGUUUCUCAUUUACUUCUUUUUAGGUAAACAACUUAAUCUUGGCUUGUUCUUACUUCAUGUGUCAACGACAAUUAUCAUGAACAUAAUAUGACUUAGUUGCAACAAAUGUCCAGGAAAAUUUGGGAGGAUAAAAAACCAACGCACUUGAGAAAGCAACCAUUUAUAAUAGCCAUAGUAUUGAAAACUUAUCAAUUAUAGCUAUCAAAUGUUUUUAUCCCACACCCUCAACAAAAAGCACCGCUAUACAAUUUUAGAAAAAGAGCGAUAACAAACCAAUGGUAUGUUUGAAAAUAGUAAAACAAUUUCCUAUUUUUAAGAGGAAAACAAUAAGUAAACAACAUCUAGCAACAAAAAAAUAGAAAAUAGUUUUCUAUUUUUAAAAAUAUAAAAUAACAUGUUUUCUGAUAACAUAUUUUAGUUGUUUUCAUUUGUUUUCUAAUGGUUAUUUUAAAAAAAACAAAUAUUUAAAUAUGAAGAAUAAUUAAAAAUAAAGCACUACAAAUAAAAGUUAUUUUCAAAAAAGUUAUGUGAUAGCUCACAUCAAAUAGGAGAAAGACAUUAUACACAUAUGAAUUCUUCUUAAUCAUGCAUGUAGAUGUGUUUUAAAGUCAUAAAGGUUCUUUUGACCUACAAUGGACAAUAUCUACAUGGCUGAGAUUAGAUUGUAAGUCAAUCCCUGACCUUAGUGUGAGUUUGUUUAGCCCUACAAGAAAUGUUUGUUUGUUUGUUUGACCCCACAUGACCCUGAAAUGCUAUGAGACAUAAUGUGGACGUUGUGUCUUCAUGGAGGUCAAUUAUGAUAUCUCACAAUUAGAUGGAACAAAAAUUUCUUAACACUAAAUAUGUAUGAACUACUCUUAACUAUAUAGAUGUGUUUUUGAGUCAUGAAGGCCAGAGCAAAAAAUAUCUACAUAAUUAGGAAUUUUCUAUAUAUUAAAUCAUAGAACUCAAAUAAACUUUUGUGCAAUAAAACAUCAAAUAACACUUUUCAAAAACAGUUCUCAAAAUCUAUUUUGAAAAUACUUUCUAAACAGAACCCAAAUUUUUAGUUGAAAAAGAAGUUAAGAGCACGAAACAUUACCAUAUAAGACUUAAAGGAGGUUUUCGAAGUUCAAACGAAUUUCAAACUACUAUAUUUUGUGUAACAAAUAACUAUUGCUUCCUCUUAUGUCACAAAUCUUAAUUAGCUAUGUUUAACAAGCAUUAGGUAGAUCUAUUCAUUGAAAUGUCGCUUUUCUUUGUCUUUUUUUUUCAUAUUUUAUAUUGAAAAUAAAGACCUUUGAAAGGCUAUUGUUUUCUAUAUAGCAAGAAACACAGAAAGAUAAUAUUGGUACUCCAAAAACAUUGAGCCUUAUUUCAGUCUUAGAAACUAUGACAGGAGGAAAAAAAAAAAAAGAAACCACUAAGGGGAAAAGAAAAGGAAGAAUAAAUUUCAAUCAACCAUAUUGAGCAGAAAUGGACUAGUAAUUAAAUGAAUAAAUGUAUUCACAAGCGUAAAUCAUGUGGAGAAUAACUCAAAUUAAGGCGUUUCCUAGGCCAUACAUGCGCCAUGUAUGGUAAAGCAUCAACUACCAGCAAAGAUGAUUUCCAACUUAUUCAUUUAUUCUCAAUUUGUCUUAGUGUAAAAACCUUCAGAAGGGUACGUACGUACCACAUGUGAAUAAUAAUCAAAAUUACAAAAUACGUACAAUUGCCAGUAUGUUCUUCAUUAUGUAAACAAACGCACAAACUUUAUCACAAGAAUGACAAGAUACACGACCUAAUGAAAAGAAUUUCUGAUUUUGGGGGCUCCCAUGGUGGAGCUUUAUCUAUAUAUAUGUUCACUGUCCAGUAGCCAUGACGAACGGAGGGGGAGGCUUGGCAUGGCCUGCAAACUUCAUACCGUUAUGGCAAGGUGGGGCGCCCUUUUCCGGGAUAUGGCUGCAUGAACUGCUUCCAGAGGGAGGCACAGGACCUGAACUCAGAGAUUGCAAAGGAACAAAUCUUAUCUUGAUCCACUCUUCUUUCUCUCCAUCAAGAACCCUACCAGCACUGUGUGGUUGGACGCUCAGAACAAGGACAAGUGCCGUGACAGCUAAAGCAAUGUUGAGAAACCUCAUGAUCGAUCUUUGGCGGGUUAAGCAAAGAGGAGAUGAUCAAAGCAAUAUUUUUAGAUGGACAAAUUAAUAUGCAUAUAUGAUAUAUGGAAGAGAACGACCAUCUCGGUUAUUUAUAUGCUCCCAAUGGUAUGACUGGAGUUUUUGGUAGUUUGGCUUGUUUGAAGGGUUUCUUUGACUGUUGACUUACUAAUAGUGUUUUGCUUUGGGAGAUUGAAAAUUGAAGUGGUCUUAAAGAAGAAACUACGUCUGAAAAUACUUGAUUACUGUACACAUGAGCAUGCAUCUUAUGACCUUUUUGAACACCAAAAAUUAUGUGAGAAGGAAAAUGAUUUUAAUGUUAAGUUGGAGAGUUGCC